RNAcentral lists this ribosomal RNA (323 nucleotides) under uncultured eukaryote. RNAcentral describes it as "partial 18S ribosomal RNA". It matches the Rfam family "Eukaryotic small subunit ribosomal RNA", at positions 1470 to 1796 of the family's 1831-position model. The record is from RNAcentral.
CCCUUAGAUGUUCUGGGCCGCACGCGUGCUAAACUGAACGGUUCAAUGGGUAAGGUAGUGCGAAAGCAUGACCUAAUCUCGAAAUCCGUUCGUGCUGGGGAUAGAAGCUUGCAAUUAUCCUUCUUGAACGAGGAAUACCUUGUAAGCGUGAGUCAUCAUCUCACGCUGAAUACGUCCCUGCCCUUUGUACACACCGCCCGUCGCUCCUACCGAUUGAGUGUUCCGGUGAGGCUUUGGGAGAAUGGCCUCAACAUGAGUUUAUCGUGUUUUGCCGUUUGAACUUAGUCAAACCUUAUCACUUAGAGGAAGGAGAAGUCGUAACA